GUAUCCGCGUGAACUUAAGCAUAUCAAUAAACGGAGGAAAAGAAACCAACAGGGAUUGCCUCAGUAACGGCGAGUGAAGCGGCGACAGCUCACAUUUGAUAGCUGGCGUCUCCGACGUGCGCGUUGUAAUUUGUAGAGGAUGCUUCGGCGAGGACUCCUGCCUAAGUCCCCUGGAACGGGGCGUCACAGAGGGUGAGAAUCCCGUACGUGGCGGGCGGUCCGAGCCGUGUGAAGCUCCUUCGACGAGUCGAGUUGUUUGGGAAUGCAGCUCUAAAUGGGAGGUAAAUUUCUUCUAAAGCUAAAUACUGGCCAGAGACCGAUAGCGCACAAGUAGAGUGAUCGAAAGAUGAAAAGCACUUUGGAAAGAGAGUUAAAAAGUACGUGAAAUUGUUGAAAGGGAAGCGCUUGCAACCAGACUCGCCCGCAGUUGCUCAGCCGGCCUCUUGGCCGGCUCACUCCUCUGCGGUCGGGCCAGCAUCGGUUCGGGCGGCCGGACAAAGGCGUCGGGAACGUAGCACCCUUCGGGGUGUGUUAUAGCCCGUCGCGGAAUGCGGCCAGCCUGGACCGAGGAUCUCGCUUCGGCAAGGAUGCUGGCGUAAUGGUUGUAAGCGGCCCGUCUUGAAACACGGACCAAGGAGUCUAACAUCUAUGCGAGUGCUUGGGUGUCAAACCCGUGCGCGUAAUGAAAGUGAACGGAGGUGGGAACCCUUCUCGGGGCGCACCAUCGACCGAUCCUGAUGUCUUCGGAUGGAUUUGAGUAAGAGCAUGGCUGUUGGGACCCGAAAGAUGGUGAACUAUGCCUGAAUAGGGUGAAGCCAGAGGAAACUCUGGUGGAGGCUCGCAGCGGUUCUGACGUGCAAAUCGAUCGUCAAAUUUGGGUAUAGGGGCGAAAGACUAAUCGAACCCA
RNAcentral lists this ribosomal RNA (907 nucleotides) under Phyllosticta sp. RNAcentral's name for it is "partial large subunit ribosomal RNA". It matches the Rfam family "Eukaryotic large subunit ribosomal RNA", at positions 22 to 942 of the family's 3401-position model. Lineage: Eukaryota; Fungi; Ascomycota; Dothideomycetes; Botryosphaeriales; Phyllostictaceae. The record is from RNAcentral.